This 194-nucleotide ribosomal RNA is filed under the name uncultured Clostridium sp. RNAcentral describes it as "partial 16S ribosomal RNA". It matches the Rfam family "Bacterial small subunit ribosomal RNA", at positions 338 to 524 of the family's 1533-position model. Lineage: Bacteria; Bacillati; Bacillota; Clostridia; Eubacteriales; Clostridiaceae. The record is from RNAcentral.
CCUACGGGAGGCAGCAGUAGGGAAUCUUCCACAAUGGACGAAAGUCUGAUGGAGCAACGCCGCGUGAGUGAAGAAGGUUUCCGGAUCGUAAAACUCUGUUGUAAGGGAAGAACACGUACGAGAGUAACUGCUCGUACCUUGACGGUACCUUAUUAGAAAGCCACGGCUAACUACGUGCCAGCAGCCGCGGUAAU